AGGAGAGGGCCUCCCAAACCCGGGAAAGAGUGAGGGUCAUGAUGCAGAGGAAUGAGUGCUCUGGGGAUAUGAAAAACUCAAGCUUGAGCACAGCCUGCGAUGAGUCUCCAGGUCAUGCUGUUGCAAGAGGUAUGUUCCCAUGGUCUUGGAUAGCUCCACCUCUGUGGUUUUGCAAGAUACUGCCUCCAUCCUGGCUGCUUUCAUGGACUGGCAUUGAGUGUCUAUGGCUUUUCCAGGUCUUUUAGGCUGACUGACUGCCCCAUGGACACCAUGUUAACAUCUGUGACCUGCAUGGACACUCCAGAUGAGUUCCUGGAAAAUCUGAAGAACCUGGAAGACCAUGAAAAGGGGAAGAAAUGAUCAACCCCUGUGAAGCCUACUUAACUUUGAGACAUUCUCUAUUGUUCCUUAUUCCUGCCCCAAUUGAUAAGGCUAUUGGACUUUGUAACUGACCUUACCAACCUCGUGACUCUAGACCCUACGACCCCCUCCCAGCUUGCAAAAAACCACGCUAAAAUAUAGCUCCUAUAACUUUCCACUGCUUUCCCCACAACCUAUAAAACCAACUCCUAUAUCACCCCUUUUGCUGACUCUUUUCAGACUCAGCCUGCCCACACCCGUGUGAAUAAACAGCCAUGUUGUUCACACAAA
Non-coding RNA from Callithrix jacchus (white-tufted-ear marmoset), 651 nucleotides. NCBI's taxonomy places the organism in Eukaryota, Metazoa, Chordata, Mammalia, Primates, Cebidae. The record is from RefSeq and is a predicted model, not a curated record.